AGGUUCGAUCCUGGCUCAGGAUGAACGCUAGCUACAGGCUUAACACAUGCAAGUCGAGGGGCAGCAUUGGCGUGGCUUGCCACGCCAGAUGGCGACCGGCGCACGGGUGAGUAACGCGUAUCCAACCUGCCCGCAACCGCGGAAUAGCCCGCCGAAAGGCGGAUUAAUGCCGCAUGAGCCCGCGAGACGGCAUCUUAGCGCGGGCAAAGGUUUUUUCCGGUUGUGGAUGGGGAUGCGUCCGAUUAGGCAGCAGGCGGGGCAACGGCCCACCUGGCCAUCGAUCGGUAGGGGUUCUGAGAGGAAGGUCCCCCACAUUGGAACUGAGACACGGUCCAAACUCCUACGGGAGGCAGCAGUGAGGAAUAUUGGUCAAUGGGCGGAAGCCUGAACCAGCCAAGUAGCCGUGUGGGAUGACGGCCCUACGGGUUGUAAACCACUUUUGCGCGGGGAUAACCGGCGGCACGCGUGCCGCCCUGCAGGUACCGCGCGAAUAAGGACCGGCUAAUUCCGUGCCAGCCGCUGC
RNAcentral lists this ribosomal RNA (523 nucleotides) under uncultured bacterium. Its description in RNAcentral is "bacterial SSU rRNA". It matches the Rfam family "Bacterial small subunit ribosomal RNA", at positions 9 to 518 of the family's 1533-position model. The record is from RNAcentral.